RNAcentral lists this ribosomal RNA (495 nucleotides) under uncultured bacterium. Its description in RNAcentral is "partial 16S ribosomal RNA". It matches the Rfam family "Bacterial small subunit ribosomal RNA", at positions 28 to 507 of the family's 1533-position model. The record is from RNAcentral.
GACGAACGCUGGCGGCGUGCCUAAUACAUGCCAGUAGAACGCUGAAGGAGGAGCUUGCUUCUCCGGAUGAGUUGCGAACGGGUGAGUAACGCGUAGGUAACCUGCCUGGUAGCGGGGGAUAACUAUUGGAAACGAUAGCUAAUACCGCAUAACAGUGGAUGUUGCAUGACAUUUGCUUAAAAGGUGCAAUUGCAUCACUACCAGAUGGACCUGCGUUGUAUUAGCUAGUUGGUGAGGUAACGGCUCACCAAGGCGACGAUACAUAGCCGACCUGAGAGGGUGAUCGGCCACACUGGGACUGAGACACGGCCCAGACUCCUACGGGAGGCAGCAGUAGGGAAUCUUCGGCAAUGGACGGAAGUCUGACCGAGCAACGCCGCGUGAGUGAAGAAGGUUUUCGGAUCGUAAAGCUCUGUUGUAAGAGAAGAACGAGUGUGAGAGUGGAAAGUUCACACUGUGACGGUAUCUUACCAGAAAGGGACGGCUAACUACGUG